This is a non-coding RNA of Mollisia scopiformis, 251 nucleotides long. Lineage: Eukaryota; Fungi; Ascomycota; Leotiomycetes; Helotiales; Mollisiaceae. The record is from the annotation of a RefSeq genome assembly.
GCCCGGAUGGCGCAGUGGUAACGUAAGUCCACUUCCGAUUGUAUACAAUAGGACCCAGUCAUUCUAACAACACUAUAGGCGUCGCACUUGUAUGAGUCUAUAACUCUCUCUCUUUAAAUGGUAUGUACAAUUUACAUAAUAUGUGCAACUUUUAUGCAGUUAGUUGAAUUGCACACGUAUCUAAUAUAUCAUGACAUCAUAUGCUAACUUACUAUCAGCGAAGAUCCCUAGUUCAAUUCUGGGUUCGGGCA